RNAcentral lists this ribosomal RNA (253 nucleotides) under uncultured bacterium. RNAcentral describes it as "partial 16S ribosomal RNA". It matches the Rfam family "Bacterial small subunit ribosomal RNA", at positions 524 to 776 of the family's 1533-position model. The record is from RNAcentral.
UACGUAGGUGGCAAGCGUUAUCCGGAAUUAUUGGGCGUAAAGCGCGCGCAGGUGGUUUUUUAAGUCUGAUGUGAAAGCCCACGGCUCAACCGUGGAGGGUCAUUGGAAACUGGGAGACUUGAGUGCAGAAGAGGAAAGUGGAAUUCCAUGUGUAGCGGUGAAAUGCGUAGAGAUAUGGAGGAACACCAGUGGCGAAGGCGACUUUCUGGUCUGUAACUGACACUGAGGCGCGAAAGCGUGGGGAGCAAACAGG